This is a long non-coding RNA of Columba livia (rock pigeon), 1944 nucleotides long. RefSeq lists it as uncharacterized. NCBI's taxonomy places the organism in Eukaryota, Metazoa, Chordata, Aves, Columbiformes, Columbidae. The record is from RefSeq and is a predicted model, not a curated record. The transcript has 4 exons.
CUCACAGUUUGUAGGAUCUUCUGACACUGCUUUUUUUGCAGCUCCACCACUGAAAGAACAAAUAUUUCAGGUUGCUUUUAUGUUUUUUUCCCCUUUUUAGCUUCACAAAAGCAAAUUCUUGAGUGGUUAUUGGUAUCUGGUCAAAGCAUCAGCCCAGUGUAGAGUACAUGGGAAGUGACUCUCAUAUUCGUCCUUAUUAAAUACCGUAUUAACAACAGACAUCAAGAAGAGGAUCCACCUCAUCUGCGUGAAUGAUUAACCAUUAAGACAAAUCAUCGGUGAAACGACGCAUCCUCCUCCACCACUGCGGCGCUUUGUCGAGGCUCGAUGGGGAUCAGCAAAGGGCCGUGCUCGGUUUAAGAAAAUUAAGGUACAGCAGGUCGGUGGGUCUCCAAAACCCAAACCGGCAUGAAGAAGCUCAGCAAGUGGAAAUUGAGGAUGAUGAAGCACCAGAACAACUGAACAGAGGGUGCAGAGGUUGUUUUUAGGUUUCCCAUGAGCAUCACGAGGCUCUUAAAGCUUCAGGAUUCGCAAUCUUGGAGAUUUCAUCCUCCUGCCGUGAGGCCGUUGGAUUUUAUUAUUCCUUUCCCAAUUCCUACAGCAGCCUGCACCCUGAAAUCCAGCUACGGGGUGAGGACAGAAGCUGUUAAUUGAAAGGCACUGACUUUUUGGGUGAAAUACCCAAUUUUAGGGGCAAAAGGCCAUUUUCAGCACCAGAUGAUUUCUCAGUAAAUGCAUUUUCCCCAGGUACUUCACUAAGAUAUCUACAUACAGGGCCACGACGGGAUUACACCUGCCCAUCCACGGUGUCUCAUUAACCAGGGGUGAGCAUCCCUACUCAGCAUCCCAGACCCAGGGAGGAAGAAGAUGCUAAAGCAUCAUCUGCAGAGAAAUGCAAUUAUUUUCUGAGGGCUGCUGAGCAUCUCCACCGAGCCAGCUUUUCCGGGGAAGAUCAAAGCCAACCUCUGAUCAGGAGAGCUGAGCGAGAUCUCUUCAAUGGUGCAGGAGAACAGGGGAGGAAUGAAAAAAAUAUAAAGAAAAAGGGGGAUGGCUGGGAGCAAGGUGAAGGGUUUUAUUAUUGGGGAUGGAUAAACCCUAAACAAACCCUGCUGUGGUUGGUGUCUCACCUCUAGCGACUCCAUCACGGCAUGACUGGGUUUUCAGAGCCCACCAAGGAGCUUCUUGGUGCCAAUGGGUGAUGUAGGGCUGGCUGGACCACACUGAGCUCAGCUAUUCCCUCGUCCUCCAGCAACCCCAGCCCACCUCAUCUCAGCUUUGCCGCUGGGGUAACAGAAGCUUCAAGGGCUUUUUUUGGAAAAAAGGACCAAGAGGACCCAGUGCAUCUUUUAUAGAUGCUGUUGCCUCCGGCAGAAAAGCCAAAGCAAACUCCAGUGCUUUGAUUUUGGCACUUUUAAGCAGAAAGGAGAGAAAGAUUCCCAAACCGGACCAAACCCUGCAGAUAACUGAGCUGAAGUGGAUGCUCGAGGAUGUCCCACCGUCACAUUCCCUCCUGCCAAUCAUCCAGCAGCAAUAAACUCAUCAAUGACAGCAAUUUUGGGGCUUUUUCAAGGCCCCGGUGAAGGGAGGGGAGAAGGCACGUGACUGGCAGAUGUUCCCUCUCCCUUCAAAUUUAGUUUGUGCUCUAUAUUCAAAUGGCAGUUUAAUGAGCUUUUCCUUAUUUCCAGCAACUUUAUCACAUCAUUAAAGCAUAGAGAUGAAUAAUACAUCUAGCGCCUGGAUUAAGCUGAACUUCAGACCCAACACAGCUUCAAACAGAGGAGGUAAGAGAAGAGGCUGGAGGACGAGGUCAUUGCCUUAAAAAUGACGGAAAUUGGGUAAAAAAAACCUGACCUGGAUCACAUCACACUGCACCCAGUGCUCGGUCAGGUCUUGGCCGUAUCAACCCGUUGCCAAAGAGGAGCACUGGUCGCAUCUACAUGGAUG